UACGUAGGUGGCAAGCGUUGUCCGGAUUUACUGGGCGUAAAGAGCGCGCAGGCGGUCGUUCAAGUCGCGUGUGAAAGCCCCCGGCUCAACUGGGGAGGGUCACGCGAUACUGAUCGACUCGAAGGCAGGAGAGGGUAGUGGAAUUCCCGGUGUAGUGGUGAAAUGCGUAGAUAUCGGGAGGAACACCAGUGGCGAAGGCGACUUCCUGGCCUGUUCUUGACGCUGAGGCGCGAAAGCUAGGGUAGCAAACGGG
This 253-nucleotide ribosomal RNA is filed under the name uncultured bacterium. Its description in RNAcentral is "partial 16S ribosomal RNA". It matches the Rfam family "Bacterial small subunit ribosomal RNA", at positions 524 to 776 of the family's 1533-position model. The record is from RNAcentral.